This 2899-nucleotide ribosomal RNA is filed under the name Chroogloeocystis siderophila 5.2 s.c.1. RNAcentral's name for it is "bacterial LSU rRNA". It matches the Rfam family "Bacterial large subunit ribosomal RNA". Lineage: Bacteria; Bacillati; Cyanobacteriota; Cyanophyceae; Chroococcidiopsidales; Chroococcidiopsidaceae. The record is from RNAcentral.
UAAAUCAAGUGGUCAAGCUAAAUAGGGCUGAUGGUGGAUACCUAGGCACACAGAGGCGAAGAAGGACGUGGUAACCGACGAAACGCUCCGGGGAGUUGGAAGCAAGCAGAGAUCCGGAGAUGUCCGAAUGGGGCAACCCUAUGUACUACCGACUGAAUUCAUAGGUCGGCAAGAGCCAACCCAGCGAACUGAAACAUCUUAGUAGCUGGAGGAAGAGAAAGAAAACUCGAUUCCCUAAGUAGUGGUGAGCGAACGGGGAAUAGCCUAAACCAGAAGAUUUAUCUUCUGGGGUAGUGGGACAGCGAUAUGGAAUCUGAGCGUUAGACGAAGCAGUCGAAUACUGUACCAGAGAAGGUGAAAGUCCUGUAGUCGAAAAGGCAACGAUACUAGUUGAAUCCCGAGUAGCACGGGGCACGAGAAAUCCCGUGUGAAUCAGCGAGGACCACCUCGUAAGGCUAAAUACUACUGUGUGACCGAUAGUGAAACAGUACCGCGAGGGAAAGGUGAAAAGAACCCCGGGAGGGGAGUGAAAUAGAACAUGAAACCGUCAGCCUGCAAGCAGUGGAAGGACGAUUCAACGUCUGACCGCGUGCCUGUUGAAGAAUGAGCCGGCGAGUUAUAACGUGUGGCAGGUUAAGGUGCAUAGCCGUAGCCAAAGCGAAAGCGAGUCUGAAUAGGGCGUAUGAAUUGUCACUUGUUAUAGACCCGAACCCGGGUGAUCUAACCAUGUCCAGGAUGAAGCUUGGGUAACACCAAGUGGAGGUCCGCACCGACCGAUGUUGAAAAAUCGGCGGAUGAGGUGUGGUUAGGGGUGAAAUGCCAAUCGAACCCGGAGCUAGCUGGUUCUCCCCGAAAUGUGUUGAGGCGCAGCGGCUGUGAUUGAAAGUCUGGGGGUAAAGCACUGUUUCGGUGCGGGCUGCGAGAGCGGUACCAAAUCGAGACAAACUCUGAAUACCAGGCUCCAAGCAGCUAGUGAGACGGUGGGGGAUAAGCUUCAUCGUCAAGAGGGAAACAGCCCAGACCACCAGCUAAGGUCCCCAAAUUGUCACUAAGUGAUAAAGGAGGUGGGAGUGCAAAGACAACCAGGAGGUUUGCCUAGAAGCAGCCAUCCUUGAAAGAGUGCGUAAUAGCUCACUGGUCAAGCGCUCCUGCGCCGAAAAUGAACGGGGCUAAGUGACAUACCGAAGCUGUGGGAUAUGUAAAUAUCGGUAGGGGAGCGUUCCGCGAUAGGGUGAAGCACUAGCGGCAAGCAGGUGUGGACGAAGCGGAAGUGAGAAUGUCGGCUUGAGUAGCGAAAACAUUGGUGAGAAUCCAAUGCCCCGAAACCCUAAGGGUUCCUCCGGCAGGUUCGUCCACGGAGGGUUAGUCAGGACCUAAGGCGAGGCCAAACGGCGUAGUCGAUGGACAACGGGUGAACAAUCCCGUACUGACAAUAAGUAGUGCAGAGGGACACAGAAGGCAAAGCCAGCCGGAUGUUGGUUACCGGUUCAACCACUCAAGGUGAUGAGAAGCGGCGAAAACGCUUUGAGCCAAGAUGGGAGCACGAGGUGCUACGGCACCGAAGUGGUGUAGUCAAGCUGUCAAGAAAAGCUCGGUGGCACGUUAACUUAUUGUUACCUGUACCCGAAACCGACACAGGUAGGGAGGUUGAGAAUACCAAGGGGCGCGAGAUAACUCUCUCUAAGGAACUCGGCAAAAUGGCCCCGUAACUUCGGAAGAAGGGGUGCCUACGCAAGUAGGUCGCAGUGAAGAGAUCCAGGCGACUGUUUACCAAAAACACAGGUCUCCGCAAAGUCGAAUGACGACGUAUGGGGGCUGACGCCUGCCCAGUGCCGGAAGGUUAAGGAAGUUGGUCAGGGAGUCAUCCUGAAGCUGACGACCGAAGCCCCGGUGAACGGCGGCCGUAACUAUAACGGUCCUAAGGUAGCGAAAUUCCUUGUCGGGUAAGUUCCGACCCGCACGAAAGGCGUAACGAUCUGGAUGGUGUCUCAGAGAGAGACUCGGCGAAAUAGGAAUGUCUGUGAAGAUACGGACUACCUGCACCUGGACAGAAAGACCCUAUGAAGCUUUACUGUAGCCUGGAAUUGGGUUCGGGCUUUGCUUGCGCAGGAUAGGUGGGAGGCGUUGAACUACUCCUUGUGGGGGGUAGGGAGCCAACGGUGAGAUACCACUCUGGCGAAGCUAGAAUUCUAACCUGUAGCCGUCGACCGGCACGGGAACAGUUUCAGGUGGGCAGUUUGACUGGGGCGGUCGCCUCCUAAAAAGUAACGGAGGCGCGCAAAGGUUCCCUCAGCACGGUUGGAAAUCGUGCGGCGAGUGUAAAGGCAAAAAGGGAGCUUGACUGCAAGAGCAACAACUCAAGCAGGGACGAAAGUCGGCCUUAGUGAUCCGACGGCACUGUGUGGAAGGGCCGUCGCUCAACGGAUAAAAGUUACUCUAGGGAUAACAGGCUGAUCUCCGCCAAGAGUUCACAUCGACGCGGAGGUUUGGCACCUCGAUGUCGGCUCAUCGCAACCUGGGGCGGAAGUACGUCCCAAGGGUUGGGCUGUUCGCCCAUUAAAGCGGUACGUGAGCUGGGUUCAGAACGUCGUGAGACAGUUCGGUCCAUAUCCGGUGCAGGCGCAAGAGCAUUGAGAGGAGUCCUCCUUAGUACGAGAGGACCGGGAGGAACGCACCGCUGGUGUACCAGUUAUCGUGCCAACGGUAAACGCUGGGUAGCCAAGUGCGGCGUGGAUAACCGCUGAAAGCAUCUAAGUGGGAAGCCCACCUCAAGAUGAGUGCUCUCACUACAAGAAGUAGGUAAGGUCACAGGAAGAACACCUGUUCAUAGGCGCUAGGUGGAAGAGCAGUAAUGUUUGUAGCCGAGGCGUGCUAAUAGACCGAGGGCUUGACCUCACAA